RNAcentral lists this ribosomal RNA (388 nucleotides) under uncultured bacterium. RNAcentral's name for it is "bacterial SSU rRNA". It matches the Rfam family "Bacterial small subunit ribosomal RNA", at positions 28 to 417 of the family's 1533-position model. The record is from RNAcentral.
GACGAACGCUGGCGGCGUGCUUAACACAUGCAAGUCGAGCGGUAAGGCCCUUUCGGGGGUACACGAGCGGCGAACGGGUGAGUAACACGUGGGUGACCUGCCCUCAGCUCUGGGAUAAGCCUGGGAAACUGGGUCUAAUACCGGAUAUGACCCCAUGACGCAUGUUGUGGGGUGGAAAGCCUUGUGCGGCUGAGGAUGGGCCCGCGGCCUAUCAGCUUGUUGGUGGGGUGAUGGCCUACCAAGGCGACGACGGGUAGCCGGCCUGAGAGGGCGACCGGCCACACUGGGACUGAGACACGGCCCAGACUCCUACGGGAGGCAGCAGUGGGGAAUCUUGCGCAAUGGGCGAAAGCCUGACGCAGCGACGCCGCGUGAGGGAUGACGGCCU